AACCGUUGAAGCUAAAGCCCUCUCAGAAGUCUCUCCUUCUGUACCAGCUGAUGCUUCCUCACACUUGUCUCCAUCACCUGUGCCAAUCGUAGAAGCUAAAGCCCUCUCAGAAGUCUCUCCUUCCGUACCAGCUGAUACUUCCUCGCACUUCUCUCCAGCACCUGUGCCAAUCGUAGAAGCAGAAGCCCUCUCAGUAGUCUCUCCUUCUGUACCAGCUGAUACUUCCUCACACUUCUCUCCAGCACCUGUGCCAAUCGUAGAAGCUAAAACCCUCUCAGAAGUCUCUCCCUCUGUACCAGAUGAUGCUUCCUCACACUUCUCUCCUGUGGUUG
RNAcentral lists this long non-coding RNA (332 nucleotides) under Arabidopsis thaliana (thale cress). Its description in RNAcentral is "long non-coding RNA (ATHA_LNC000501)". The record is from RNAcentral. Lineage: Eukaryota; Viridiplantae; Streptophyta; Magnoliopsida; Brassicales; Brassicaceae.